RNAcentral lists this ribosomal RNA (714 nucleotides) under Sarcogyne magnussonii. RNAcentral describes it as "partial large subunit ribosomal RNA". It matches the Rfam family "Eukaryotic large subunit ribosomal RNA", at positions 377 to 1443 of the family's 3401-position model. Lineage: Eukaryota; Fungi; Ascomycota; Lecanoromycetes; Acarosporales; Acarosporaceae. The record is from RNAcentral.
UGGAAAGAGAGUCAAACAGUACGUGAAAUUGUUGAAAGGGAAGCGCUUGCAAUCAGACUUGCCCGUGGGUGAUCAACCGGUAUUCUUAUCGGUGCACUCACCCGUGGUCAGGCCAGCAUCGGUUUGGGUGGCUGGAUAAAGUCCACCGGAAUGUAGCUCCUCUCGGGGAGUGUUAUAGCCGGAGGUGCAAUGCAGCCCACCCGGACCGAGGACCGCGCUUCGGCUAGGAUGCUGGCGUAAUGGUUGUAAGCGACCCGUCUUGAAACACGGACCAAGGAGUCUAACAUCUAUGCGAGUGUUUGGGUGUCAAACCCAUGCGCGUAAUGAAAGUGAACGGAGGUGGGAACCCUGAAGGGUGCACCAUCGACCGAUCCUGAUGUCUUCGGAUGGAUUUGAGUAAGAGCAUAGCUGUUGGGACCCGAAAGAUGGUGAACUAUGCCUGAAUAGGGUGAAGCCAGAGGAAACUCUGGUGGAGGCUCGCAGCGGUUCUGACGUGCAAAUCGAUCGUCAAAUUUGGGUAUAGGGGCGAAAGACUAAUCGAACCAUCUGACACUGGAUGGCACAUGGGCCGCAAGUGGCCCGAGUAGUCCCCGUGGUGGGGGCGACAUCGCCGGUCUUCCGGGGACGCCUUCGGGCUAUCCGCAGUGAGCCUCGGGCUCAUUCACAGACUAAGUGGCGGUGGCCGCGCCCAACGGCGCAGCUAGGAUAUAGCCG